This 746-nucleotide long non-coding RNA is filed under the name Equus caballus (horse). RNAcentral's name for it is "lncRNA (ENSECAG00000050763.1)". Lineage: Eukaryota; Metazoa; Chordata; Mammalia; Perissodactyla; Equidae. The record is from RNAcentral.
CAAUAAUCUGUGUGUUAAAGAGUACUCCAGGUGAUUCUGAUGCACUAGAAUAAAAAAAGAGUGUGUUUUUAUAGGUGUAUGCUGCCACAAUGAGCUGCAGUUUGUUUCUGUGAUGUGUGUAGUUCAGUCCUUUACAUGGACAUUGGAUGAUUUAAGUUAGCAGUUUCUACAGAAAGAAAGAAAAGAGGUCUAAGAAGUCAAGACUCACAGAUGAUCCAUUAGAACCUCUGGAGAGGAGUUCCAUAGAAGCUGAGUGAUUUUUCAGUCUGGUGAGUUCUGCUCAGCAAUGUAUUGGAAAAAGUUCCAGAAGAAGUCUCCCAGGCUGGUGUGAGCAAGAAGCAAGGUUGUUUUUCCUUGAACAGCCCUCCAUGUCUGCUGCUUUUCCCAGAAGGAGAUGGGCUCCAGCUCCCUCUCUGUUGACCCUGACGUGGUCCACCUCUGUGCCUGUCCAUGGGACCUCCGAACAAAACACCAUCACUGGAAAGCUAAAGGAGCCAAAUCAGAAUCCCUGGACUUCUCACAUCACCUAUGGUAGAGGUGCGCAUGUCCAACUGAGAAUCAGAGAACACAUCCAGAAUGAGAAGGCCAAUGUAGAUCUGAAGCAGGCUGAGACCCAGAAGGAGAAGACCUUCUCCCUAAAACACGGUAACGACAAUUGUGUAAGUCACCUCCAUCAUCCUCACUUCAUCUCCUGAAGAUUAGACUCAACCCUUAGGAGAAGGAGUGCAAAGAAAUAAAAGUAAGAG